This is a ribosomal RNA of Ochotona princeps (American pika), 125 nucleotides long. NCBI's taxonomy places the organism in Eukaryota, Metazoa, Chordata, Mammalia, Lagomorpha, Ochotonidae. The record is from Ensembl.
UUCUAUGGCCAUAUCAUGCUGGACACACUCUAUCUCGUCUGAUCUGGGAAGCUAAGCAGGGGCAGGCCUGGUUAGUACUUGGAUGGGAGAAACGCAAUAUUAUAGAACCUUAAGAGCUGAAGGAC